This 57-nucleotide transfer RNA is filed under the name Gnathostomula armata. RNAcentral describes it as "tRNA-Asn". Lineage: Eukaryota; Metazoa; Gnathostomulida; Bursovaginoidea; Gnathostomulidae. The record is from RNAcentral.
UAAAUAUUAGUUUAAAAUUAAAAUAUUUGAUUGUUACUCAAAAGAAAGUAUAUUUAA